UACAGAGGGGGCAAGCGUUGUUCGGAAUUACUGGGCGUAAAGGGCGCGUAGGCGGCCCUCUAAGUCGAACGUGAAAUCCCUGGGCUCAACCCAGGAACUGCGUCCGAGACUGGGGGGCUAGAAUCCGGGAGAGGGAUGUGGAAUUCCAGGUGUAGCGGUGAAAUGCGUAGAUAUCUGGAGGAACACCGGUGGCGAAGGCGGCGUCCUGGACCAACACUGACACUGAUGAGCGAAAGCCAGGGGAGCAAACGGG
This 253-nucleotide ribosomal RNA is filed under the name uncultured bacterium. RNAcentral's name for it is "partial 16S ribosomal RNA". It matches the Rfam family "Bacterial small subunit ribosomal RNA", at positions 524 to 776 of the family's 1533-position model. The record is from RNAcentral.